UACAGAGGGGGCAAGCGUUAUUCGGAAUUAUUGGGCGUAAAGGGCGCGUAGGCGGCCUGGCAAGUGGAAGGUGAAAUCCCUCGGCUUAACCGAGGAACUGCCCUCCAAACUGCUUGGCUUGAGUCCGGGAGAGGUGAGUGGAAUUCCCAGUGUAGCGGUGAAAUGCGUAGAUAUCGGGAGGAACACCAGUGGCGAAGGCGGCUCACUGGACCGGUACUGACGCUGAGGCGCGAAAGCGUGGGGAGCAAACAGG
Molecule: ribosomal RNA, 253 nt
Filed under: uncultured bacterium
Lineage: Bacteria
Description: partial 16S ribosomal RNA
Rfam family: Bacterial small subunit ribosomal RNA
Source: RNAcentral